Molecule: ribosomal RNA, 346 nt
Filed under: Clostridioides difficile
Lineage: Bacteria; Bacillati; Bacillota; Clostridia; Peptostreptococcales; Peptostreptococcaceae
Description: partial 23S ribosomal RNA
Rfam family: Bacterial large subunit ribosomal RNA
Source: RNAcentral
CUGUUCGCCCAUUAAAGUGGUACGCGAGCUGGGUUCAGAACGUCGUGAGACAGUUCGGUCCCUAUCCGUCGCAGGCGUAGGAAAUUUGAGAAGACCUGUCCUUAGUACGAGAGGACCGGGAUGGACGUACCUCUGGUGUACCAGUUGUCCUGCCAAGGGCAUGGCUGGGUAGCUAUGUACGGAAUGGAUAAGCGCUGAAAGCAUCUAAGCGCGAAGCCAACUUCAAGAUAAGAUUUCCCACCGCAAGGGUAAGACCCCAGAAAGACUAUCUGGUUGAUAGGUCGAAGGUGUAAGUGCAGCAAUGUAUUUAGCUUAUCGAUACUAAUAGGUCGAGGACUUGACCAAU